Molecule: ribosomal RNA, 468 nt
Filed under: uncultured bacterium
Lineage: Bacteria
Description: partial 16S ribosomal RNA
Rfam family: Bacterial small subunit ribosomal RNA
Source: RNAcentral
GACGAACGCUGGCGGCGUGCUUAACACAUGCAAGUCGAACGGAAAGGCCCUGCUUUUGUGGGGUGCUCGAGUGGCGAACGGGUGAGUAACACGUGAGUAACCUGCCCUUGACUUUGGGAUAACUUCAGGAAACUGGGGCUAAUACCGGAUAGGAGCUCCUGCUGCAUGGUGGGGGUUGGAAAGUUUCGGCGGUUGGGGAUGGACUCGCGGCUUAUCAGCUUGUUGGUGGGGUAGUGGCUUACCAAGGCUUUGACGGGUAGCCGGCCUGAGAGGGUGACCGGCCACAUUGGGACUGCGAUACGGCCCAGACUCCUACGGGAGGCAGCAGUGGGGAAUAUUGCACAAUGGGCGGAGGCCUGAUGCAGCAACGCCGCGUGCGGGAUGACGGCCUUCGGGUUGUAAACCGCUUUCGCCUGUGACGAAGCGUGAGUGACGGUAAUGGGUAAAGAAGCACCGGCUAACUACGUG